UUAAACUGAAGAGUUUGAUCAUGGCUCAGAUUGAACGCUGGCGGCAGGCUUAACACAUGCAAGUCGAGCGGUAACAUU
Molecule: ribosomal RNA, 78 nt
Filed under: Marinomonas piezotolerans
Lineage: Bacteria; Pseudomonadati; Pseudomonadota; Gammaproteobacteria; Oceanospirillales; Oceanospirillaceae
Description: Marinomonas sp. YLB-05 partial 16S ribosomal RNA
Rfam family: Bacterial small subunit ribosomal RNA
Source: RNAcentral